UGCUUAGCAGCAUGCAUCAUAUAGGUGAGCCUGCGAAUGGCUCAUUACAACAGCCACUGUUUACUUGAUCUUGACUAUCCUACUUGGAUAACUGUGGUAAUUCUAGAGCUAAUACACGCAAUAAAGCUCCGACCUUACGGGACGAGCGCAUUUAUUAGACCAAAACCAAUCGGGCUUCGGCCUGAAACGUUGGUGACUCUGAAUAACUGAGCUGAUCGCAUGGUCUUUGUACCGGCGACGCAUCUUUCAAGUGUCUGCCUUAUCAACUUUCGAUGGUAGUUUAUGUGCCUACCAUGGUUGUUACGGGUAACGGAGAAUAAGGGUUCGACUCCGGAGAGGGAGCCUGAGAAACGGCUACCACAUCCAAGGAAGGCAGCAGGCGCGCAAAUUACCCACUCUCGGCACGAGGAGGUAGUGACGAAAAAUAACGAGGCGGUUCUCUAUGAGGCCCGCUAUCGGAAUGGGUACAAUUUAAACCCUUUAACGAGGACCUAUGAGAGGGCAAGUCUGGUGCCAGCAGCCGCGGUAAUUCCAGCUCUCAAGGUGUAUAUCGCCAUUGCUGCGGUUAAAAAGCUCGUAGUUGGAUCUGCGCCUUCGGACUCGGUCCGCCCAACGGGUGUGAACUGGGAUCCAAGGCUUAUACUGCUGGUUUUCCCUUGAUGCUCUUUACUGGGUGUCUUGGGUGGCUAGCGAGUUUACUUUGAAAAAAUUAGAGUGCUUAACACAGGCUAACGCCUGAAUACUCGUGCAUGGAAUAAUAGAAUAAGACCACGGUUCUAUUUUAUUGGUUUUCGGAACUGUGAUAAUGGUUAAGAGGGACAGACGGGGGCAUUCGUAUCGCUGCGUGAGAGGUGAAAUUCUUGGACCGCAGCGAGACGCCCUACUGCGAGGCAUGGUCCAAAAAAUGGA
RNAcentral lists this ribosomal RNA (909 nucleotides) under Plectus aquatilis. RNAcentral describes it as "SSU rRNA". It matches the Rfam family "Eukaryotic small subunit ribosomal RNA", at positions 56 to 968 of the family's 1831-position model. Lineage: Eukaryota; Metazoa; Nematoda; Chromadorea; Plectida; Plectidae. The record is from RNAcentral.